UACGGGGGGGGCAAGCGUUGUUCGGAAUUACUGGGCGUAAAGGGCUCGUAGGCGGCCAACUAAGUCAGACGUGAAAUCCCUCAGCUUAACUGGGGAACUGCGUCUGAUACUGGAUGGCUUGGAUUUGGGAGAGGGAUGCGGAAUUCCAGGUGUAGCGGUGAAAUGCGCAGAUAUCAGGAGGAACACCGGUGGCGAAGGCGGAUCUCUGGGCCUUACCUGACGCUGAGGCGCGAAAGCUAGGGGAGCGAACAGG
This 253-nucleotide ribosomal RNA is filed under the name uncultured bacterium. RNAcentral's name for it is "partial 16S ribosomal RNA". It matches the Rfam family "Bacterial small subunit ribosomal RNA", at positions 524 to 776 of the family's 1533-position model. The record is from RNAcentral.